Molecule: small RNA, 55 nt
Filed under: human gut metagenome
Description: Streptococcus sRNA SpF59 (ldcC RNA)
Rfam family: Streptococcus sRNA SpF59 (ldcC RNA)
Source: RNAcentral
UGACCACCCGAACGGAUCGGGUCAAGGCCAUACGGACAGCCGGGUCAACUGCCGA